GACGAACGCUGGCGGCGUGCCUAAUACAUGCAAGUAGAACGCUGAAGAGAGGAGCUUGCUCUUCUUGGGUGAGUUGCGAACGGGUGAGUAACGCGUAGGUAACCUGCCUUGUAGCGGGGGAUAACUAUUGGAAACGAUAGCUAAUACCGCAUAACAAUGGAUGACACAUGUCAUUUAUUUGAAAGGGGCAAUUGUUCCACUACAAGAUGGACCUGCGUUGUAUUAGCUAGUAGGUGAGGUAAUGGCUCACCUAGGCGACGAUACAUAGCCGACCUGAGAGGGUGAUCGGCCACACUGGGACUGAGACACGGCCCAGACUCCUACGGGAGGCAGCAGUAGGGAAUCUUCGGCAAUGGGGGCAACCCUGACCGAGCAACGCCGCGUGAGUGAAGAAGGUUUUCGGAUCGUAAAGCUCUGUUGUAAGUCAAGAACGGGUGUGAGAGUGGAAAGUUCACACUGUGACGGUAGCUUACCAGAAAGAGACGGCUAACUACGUG
Molecule: ribosomal RNA, 497 nt
Filed under: uncultured bacterium
Lineage: Bacteria
Description: partial 16S ribosomal RNA
Rfam family: Bacterial small subunit ribosomal RNA
Source: RNAcentral